Molecule: ribosomal RNA, 217 nt
Filed under: Campeiostachys nutans
Lineage: Eukaryota; Viridiplantae; Streptophyta; Magnoliopsida; Poales; Poaceae
Description: Elymus nutans partial small subunit ribosomal RNA
Rfam family: Eukaryotic small subunit ribosomal RNA (bases 47-217)
Source: RNAcentral
GGGUCUACCCAUUGGUCAGGCUUAAUUGUCUGUACUGGUGAGAUGGAUCUAUACCUUCUGAGGAACUUUCAUGCCAUUUAUUUGGUGUGAUGGGAAAUCAGGACUGUUACUUUGAAAAAAUUAGAGCGUUUAAAGCAGGCUAACGCCUGAAUACAUUAGCAUGGAAUAAUGAAAUAGGACGUUCGAUCCUAUUUUGUUGGUUUCUAGGAUUGACGUA